GCUGUUUUACAUCGUAAGCAUUUUUUACAGCUUAAAAUCUCAUGACUGUCACAUGACCAAAACAACAACCAUGGCGGAAGCGGUGAGGGAGCCUCGCAAAUCACAUAAACAUAAGGAACGCAAAAAAGGCAGCACAAAAACAGAAUCACCUGUGAAGAAUCGCACAGAAGACAAACCUCCAAUGGCUGUUGGUGAUUUGGAACCAGAGAAGCUUACAUUUGAAGAAACUCAACACCCUUCUGCAAAUUUGGAAGUGCCAGUACUGCAACAAACUGAUGACACUGUAUUUGAUGGUACAAAAGGAAAUAGUAGUAAUUGUCUUUCUGUAGCUGAUCUAGAAACUGAUGGUGCUGAAGAAUUAGGAUCUAAGCUAGAAGCAUUGUUGUUACAUGACCAAGACCUUAGAGAAUCUGACCCAGACCCAGAGCAAAGAAUGCAGAAAGAGAUUUCUGCAUUCAUGCAUGAUUUAUCAGGUCAAACACAGUGGAGUGGUCAUGAUCAGUGUAAUCAAAAUGUAGCAUUGAGCAGAGUAGAACUCUCAAGUUCAGGAGUGGAUGACAUUGUGACAGACGGUCUACCCAAACAGCAGAUUAAGCAUACAGUUGAACUCGAUGCAAGAUUACAAGUCACAGAUUUAGAACCAAAAGAAGAAUUUUCUGUAACUCAUUUACCCAUUAGUGAAGGCAUUGUUUUAGACCAGCAUCAAACUGACUGCACACAAAAGUUGCCCAAAGAAUCAAUAGUGACUGACAUGCAAGAUAAUCACUCUGUAAAACAACAUUUUGUGGACAAUUUUGAAAGUGGAGAACAUCUUAGUGUUGUACACUCUCAAAACAUGGAACAUUAUGGGGAUAUGAAUUUAAUACAGCAUCAGUCACCUGAUCUUGUUGAACAGCUGUCAGUGUCUAACUCUUUCAGUGUGCCUGCUUCUCUUCCAGCAGAAGAAACCCUCCCCUCAGCACCAGAGAGCGUUGAAAAGUCCAAUGAACAUUCUUUACAUUUACCUAGCAUUCAUGCAUCAGCACCUGAGCCUUAUUCUGAAACAGUUUCUGAGGAGACAGCCAUAAAGACACCUUUGUUUGUGGAUGCAAUUUCAUCAUCAGCACCGUUGGUAGAUGUUUCUCUUUCGACAUUUGUAGAGGCAAUAGAGCAGAAGGUUACUCCAGCAGAUUGUACACAACUUGCUACUCCAGCAGGUGAGUGCUCUACUCUUGAGACGAGAAGCAUACAAGCAGCAGAGGAAGCACGACGUCCAAAGUUGUUGUAUCCAGAGUUGAUGGAGGUUGGUAAUAGGUUCAGACCAUUGUCAGUUGAGGAGCUCACACAUCUUUACUACAACGUGGAAUUGCAGAACAACCCUCAGUUCAUCGAAAGCUUUAUUCAGAAUGAAGAAAAGAGAGCAGGCCACGAGUUCCAUGAGAUUUUAAUGAACUAUUUUCGGGCACGCAAGAGCUUGCUUAGCGUGGAGGAAGAUUUGAAAGCACUCCGACAGAAUUAUGAACGGGUGCAGGCAGAGCUGUGGAUUGUAACUCGGAACACUAUUCAAGUGGAGGGGCAGUGUGCAGAUGGCAGUAGGGUGACCAAACUACACACAUACGAGCAGUGUAAACUCAACAGGGAUGCUCUUACCAACAUGGCAUCCUGUCUGCAGUCUAUUCGAAGUGAAAUGCAGGGUGAUCUAGCUUUGUUUGCCUACUCUGCUCAGAUGUCAAGACUGCAGGUGGAGUCAUACAUACACUCUUUUUUUAUGAGCUGCCCUCAUUUCCGGGACAUGCCCAGAACAGCACCAGUUACUGCCACAGAGUAUACUGCAAGAGAAGAUGUUCAAGCACAGGCAGAAAGAUUGAAGGAAUGUAUCUCUGUGCUGUUUGUUUUCCAUCGCAAGCCCACACGGGACACAGAAUUUGUGGAAAAUAUUCGGAGAUGGACAGAACGUCUUGUAUCAGCUCUGUUGCGGGCUGCCACCUUUAAGGAUCAUCUUUUCAUCCUCAACCAUAUUCUGCGAGCACCAGCAGGAGUGGGACAAUGGGCAGCAACUUUAGUGCAGAUUCCUCCGCCGACAAGUCUUACAUUGCAGACUGCAGUGGGCAGUCCCAUCCUUGAUCAUGCUGUUACAUGUCUGGCCACAGUCCUACAGCCUGUCAGAGCCAGAGAGGCCUUUAUGUGCCACAUGCGUGUCAAUGUGACUGAAAACAGCCUGCAGCUGGAAAGAGCAUGGAUACUUGUCGACUCUGAUGGAGAAGAAGAUGAGGACCCAGCACAAGCCUGGUUACACCUACAUGAAAAUGAUGUCGUGGCAUUGCUGCAGCAGUUUCCACUGGAUGCUAUCUUUGCUUAUUUGCUGCAAGCUCCCAUGAAUGAAAAUGGCAUUGCUCAGUAUGACGUGCGUCGUUGCACCGAGCCUGUCAUGAUGCAGCUGUUUGCGUUCUGCACAACAUGGAUCAUGCUUCUGGGAGACGGCCUGAACACUUACAGCAUGGCUCGGUAUCGCCAAUUGAACAAGCGCCUGGGGCGGCUGAUAAGGCAAACAAUAUCCUUUGUCUCUGACCACUGGUUGAACUUUAAGACGUAUUAUGGUCCUCUGGCUCCAUCGGCCUCAUUGGAGAGGUUGCAGCUGGAAUUUGAUCAGCUGUUCAUGAGGGCAACUUACACAAUUCUCACAGCCCAAAAACUUGGUUCUUGGCAGUUCAUGGCUGAUAUGCCAUUCACAUGUUUAUCUGCUGGCAACAUUUGGCGGUUGCUAUGGUUACUGCAGCAGGCACAACCUGUUGACCUGGAUGCCCUUCCAUCUGUUGAGAAAUGCAAAGAGGAUAUGAAAGAUAUUGAAAGUCGUAGACAGCUGGCUGACACCCUGCAGAGUCUUCCUAGGUCAGAGUCUGAAUUUUUGCUGACCACAUUCGCCAACAUGGCAGCAGCUCGUCCGCUUGAAGAAGAUGAGUUCAUUGAAUGUGUCACUCUGCAGGUCUUUGAGAUUGCCUACAUCUGUGACCACACUCGUGAAUUCUGCUUCAAAAUUGGGCGACAACUGCUGUGUUCCAUAAUUCAGAAACACCCAACUGCCCUCUCCAUGCUGCUGAGAAGACUCCAAGUUGUCAUGCCACAGCUGGGAACGAUGGCACUGUACUUGUUCCAAGAAAUGCCUGCAAGUAUUUGGUCUCCUCAAGAUCCUGACAUGCUGCUUUUGAGACAAUGGCUUCUCAACUUUGACCUUACCACUACAGAAAACCAGCUUGCCCGUCUGGUGCUUGAGAGAAUGAACUGGGAUGUGUUUUCUGAGACAGGAAAGCUUGUGCUUGACAUACGCUUGCACAGACAAGUGGCACUACUUCUGAUUGAGAGCUACAUCAAGUAUGUCUCUGAGAGGAAAGCCAGCUUUCUUAUAAUAGAAGGCAUGAAGCAGAUGGCAGCUUUUGUGAGUCAGAAAAGCUCACGGGAGCAAGUAUUCAACAACUGGGUCUGGGCCCUAGCUCUUCGAUUAAAACUUCACCAUGAGAGUACCCUGAUGAUGUCACGGGCUGCAGUAUCUAAUCGUUUUCAGCCUCUUGCCCUUCAUCAAGAUCAGCAUUUACUUCCUAUUGUGAUGGCUGUGCGCAACAAGAACCCCCUGGCCUGCUACUUGGCAUUGACUAUGACAGAUGUGGGGCAUGACACUGGCCAGUUUCUUACAUCCGGUCUUGACAUGUUAUUGACACUGGUCACUUCCAGCCAGUUCUCCACAGUCAUCCAUGUUCUGAGCUGUGUUGUUCCUCUCUUCAUCGCCACUCCACAGUAUCUUCUAGAUAAUGAAAGUUUCCAGAAGAUUUUGCAAAUGAUCGUAACAGCUGAUGACAAUGUUCUGAAGGUGACAAAACUCGUUCUUGGGGUGGAGUUUCCAGGUGUGGUCACCCGUCAGUUCACCCAGAUGAUGCAGGCUAUGAUUUCUGCACGGCUGGAUGGCAGUGAAGCCUUACCAGUUUUACUCUUCUGGAUAAGAGCUGUCUUCAAAGUGGCCAAGUUUCUAACUGACAGGAACUGCUGCUAUAUUCUGGACAACCUGGUUCGCUGGGGCUAUCUACAGAAAGGAGCUCGGGAGAAGCUAGAUGCUCUUUUCCGUGACUACUUUAAUCAACGGCAAAGUGAGGCAAAGUCCCGUGGUGGAUUUUUGAAUUGGGUUGGCAGUAGUGGUGAGGGCCCACCUUCGUUGAUGGAGCAGGCAUCACUUCCAGAGUUUGGCUGGCUGGCAACACAAGUUCUUCAUGUAGAGAGUAUCUGUGAGGUAGAAUCCAGGGUCUGGCCAGGACUUCAGCACGAGCUUCUGUCUACAGCAGGGAUCUCCUUAGAGAUGGCUUUGAAGCAUGUGCAAGCGCACCUGCGGAUCCCCACAACACUGACAGUGGGGAGACUGAGCAUUUACAGAUGGGCACAGCAGGCUUUGGACACGGACAUCAAGCAUCCCCUUCUUCCUGUCAUAUGGCAGCGCUUCUUUUCUUUUUACCUUGGCCGAUCUUCUCUUGGCUCGCAGAUGCCUACACGUGCCAGUGUGGGAGAGCAGUUCUUCCAAACAACAGCCAUGUCUUCAAUGUUGAAAAAGAUGAAGAAGAGGCUUGCAGAGUGUGCACAGUUUCAUAUGAACUUUGACCCACAGGAAGAAGGCAGGAAGGGAGAUCAGCAACCUCCAACACCUGGAACAAAUGAAUCAGAAACAGACUCACAGCAGGCAAGUCCAGUGACAGAAGAAAGCCCUUACAUAGGGUCUCGUGAUUUCCAUCUGCAGCUGGCCAGGCUGUAUCAGACAUUUGUUUUAUGGCUGGAGGAACCCCGUUUACAUGGUUCUGACCUCUACCUGCCAGCUUUGCCACCACAGUAUGAAGCUGCACGCCUCAUGCAAAUAUUCAUGCCUGUAUUUAAUCCUUGGUUGGAGUUUGUGGAUUUUGAGCAGGCACAGUACGAAAUCAGCUGUACUGCUGCAACAUGGCGAAGUGUGGUCUCUGGCCGUCCCCAAAUGGAAGCACCACUUCAUAGAAGGAGACGACUUUCAGAGCAGUCAGCAACUGAGCGCAUUCGUCAGCGUCUGCAACGUUACAUCUCCCCCAAGCCACCACCACCUCUGCACCACAUCAGUCCUCCUGUGCCAGAAAUUCCUCCCACUCUCUUAUGGGACAAGAUGGCAGCAGUGCGUCUUCUAGAUGCUGACCUCAGCAUUCUAACGGAGUUUACCAAAUUUUUCUCAACACGAGCAGCACAACAGUGUGCCAUUGAUGGUGUGUAUUUAGACCUCCUUCCAGAGCAGUACUCCAAUAUUAUGAAGCUGAUACAAGUGUCAGCAGAAUGUAGAAGUCGUGUGAACCCCCUUCACAGAUGCUCUGGUCCUGCUGUUAUUCCAGUCCGGGUAGAAGAACGGGAACAAAACACCAUUGUCCAACGCAAAAUAGAUGAAAACAGAGCAGAGUACAAUCAGCUGAUUAUUGAAGCUGUGCUUCCUCCUCCUCAGAACAUCUGCAGUGCAGCUGUCCAUGUCGAAAACGCCAUCACGUUGCUGAUCAAGAUGUCACAGAAAACUGCAGAUGAGCGAGAGCUGGAGAUGCUCAGAGAUGUGGCCUGCACUCUUUUCUUUCACUUGGCAAUACAGGUUACGGAGGAGACAAACUUCUAUUUGCCAACCAAGCAGUUCUUUUGUUCCUGUGUAGAGAUCUUAGGCCAGGAAUUCGUGUCCCGGGUACCACAACAGACUCCCCUUAUUCUUCAGUUCUGCUUGGACAACACUAAUCUUGCAGGAAUAGUGUCCCCUCAUUUUGUGCCCAACAAUGCACCAGAGAAUUUUGUGCAGAUGUAUGAACAGCUGAUCACUGUGCUGCAACAACAGGAUCUCCAUCUUGUCUUCACUCUUUUAACGAAGUUUGAUGUAUGGGCAUGGCUUGAAGGGCACCGCCCCAGUGCUGCAGACAAAAAACGGUUUCUGGAAGUCUUGGGAUCAGCCUUGAUGUCCUGUGGGGCAGAACCAAGUACAGAUAACAAGCUAGUUUUUGAUGUUUACGUUGGGCACCUAAGGUGUGUUCUCAGACAGCAGUUUUCAGACAGUCUUUCGUCCAUUUUGCUCUUGCUGCUUGAAGGCUCCAGUAAUGAGGCGUUGCACACAAGCUGCUGGGAAAUGUUCCUCAUGGAAUGCUGUAAUCCCCACUCUGGUCCUGAGGUGCGGCCCAUACUACAGCCCUUCAGCAAGGAGCAAGUGGAACAGUGCAGCAACAUUCCUCUCUCAAUCCAGCUGUUGCAAGACUUGCAAAAAUUGCUGGGAGCCUAUUUCAUGCAUCAACGCACGAAAAACCCUCAGGUGCAGAACUUUGGUUUGUACCCUAGCUGGAGUCGCUAUGUUCCUUAUCUGUCCUUGCUGAUGGGUCUCCUGUCUAGAAGCUUUGCUACUAAAGUGAUGGUGAAUCUGCAAGACUUGGGCCCUUAUCGAGCCUUAGAGUGGAUAUGGGUAAAGCAGUGUGAGCUGUGGCGUGCAUGGAUAGAACCCUUGCCUAAUCCUGCUGCAAAUGCUAGCAGUUCAGCUCCAGUGAUGCAGCCCUGGACUGAAUCUGACAGCACCACGUCUGUGAUUAUUGUGGAGGAGUUUAAGUCUUCUGUACUUUCCGUACAUGCAAAGAUGGAAGAUGCAGUCCCGGAAGUCAGCAGCACUGUGCUGUCCCUCUUGCUUAUGUACUACAUGACUGAACUGUCUCAGCCAACUACGCAACCGUAUAUCAGCCAGGUCUUCAUAGGUGUUUUCUCACAGUUGCCAUGGGAACAGAUGAAACCUGACCCACAGUUGCUUAAGAUAAUGGCAGAGCUGAAGGAGAGAUGUGCCCCAGACUGCUUCCAGCUGCUUGGUCAUGUGUUACCAAAAGUAAACUGGCCACAACUGUUUGCGUAUUUCAAGUCUUAUCAUGAUCCUGAGAAAUCCCGUGAAAUACAAGCCUCUCUCUUGUUGCUUCUUAUCCAGUGUUAUGGUGACAGUGCUAUCCAACAGCUGCCUGGAGUAGUUCAGCUCCUUACUUCCUCUGAAUCCUUUGACUGGACGGGCCUGACAGUUGAGUCAUACCAUCUCGUCUCCUGCUGGUUCCUGAAUGUCUGUCAGCCACAGUGGGUAUUGGCACAGCGGUCAACUUUGCCAGCAGUUGGUUUUAGGCUGAUGAAGAUUGCAGCCGAAUUCACCAUAGAAGCCAGUCAAGCGUGGACAGCAGAGAUGGCAACCAAACGUACUACAUACAUCCACUGUGUCGCACAGCAGCUGUGUCAAGUGACCUACCUGGCAGACACUGAUAUGGAAGCUUUGCAAACUGUGAUGGUUAAUCUCCUUUCCGAAAUUGAGUCAGUGGAAUCAGCAGUGGCAGAUGUAAGAUGCCAGGAGGAGGAAUCGCUGGACCUGAUGAAGGAGAUACUAGGGCUGCUUAACAACAGCAACCCUGAGGGGACCUCCCAGAAUCUGCUGCUGCAGACAUUGUGCCAGUGGCUACACUCCUCUCCUCAUAGCAUCCUCCUGACACCAUGCAUCAAAGCAGCAUCUCGCUGCCUGGCAUCGCUGUCACAGAUGGCAGUCAUUACCGAGACCUGCAUCCAGGUUUACUUCAUAGCCUGCAAUGGCGAGGAGACACCUAACCGUGCAGAGAACACUAUGGGCUGGGGUCACAUUCUGUCUGUCUUCCAAGUCCCAGAACUGAACACCACUGAGUACCUUAAAGAGGCGGUGAAGAAUGGUGCUUACUUGCUGCUGUACACUGUGUUGCUGCACAGACGCCCUCUGUGCCGGAAUCUUGAAGAUGAGCUCCAGCUCAUGGAAGACAUUAUUCUUUGGACUUCCCAGGUUACUCCCAGUGCCAACAAUGAAGCCAAGCUUUUCCUUUGGUGGAAUGAAUUUUUACAAAUCUGGCUUAGGCAGCUGGACUUUGCUCCAUCUUUGUUGCGCUGCGUAAAUGCCGUGCAGCGGUUGAUCCGCAUUUUUCAUCAGAUGGGAGAAGAUCGUGCGUCAUCAGGAUUUUUUGGUGUCCUUGGCCUGGGGAAACGCUCUCUGUUUUCUUUACAAUUUCGCCUUGCUGUACGAGUUUUGGCAGCUUUUCUUUCAAGUCAGCUGUUGAGUGAGACAACAGUUCGCGUGAAGCCCACUGAUCCCCUGAGUGAGCUGCCAAUGGCCAAGCAGUCUCGUGUUGCUCUGACUUCCCUGCGGACCAACAGAAUGUAUGGACCAUUCAAAGAGAGUGUGGAAAACAUGAUUGGGUUUGUACACCGGACAGAUUACACAGUACGUGAGUCCUUGGUCCUGAUAAAAGAAUUGGCGAGAACACUGUAUCCGAAGUGCGAGUUCCUCCAGGCCACUUUUCUUUAGCAGAACAAGCCUUCAUUUUUCACUGAAUUAACUCAGAAGUAGUUGUGUCACCAUUUUGUGCAUGCCUCCUUCAAUGCAUGUCUGAUUUUUUAAUUUUUAAACAUGCAGAAUAUUUUUGAAGAUUUCAUUUAUGAAAUGAACUCUGUGAAAAGAAGGAUAACCCAGCUAAAAGAAUAUAUUUGAUGUUCUAAUGGUAUGAAACUGUGUGAUUAAAAUGUAGGUAUAAUCACUUUCCAUUAUGAAGUCUUAAAGCAUUGACUACAAAAGUUUCAGAAAUGAAGGAAUAUUAUCCAAAAUUAAUGAAAACAAGUGAUCAUGAAUUGUCUUCCAGCAGGGUAAAACUGUAUGAAGAAUUUUAUUGGGUCUCUGUAACCAUUACAUAUUACUAACAGAAUGAAAAAGGCCAGAAAAAGGCCAGCUGGGGAAUUGGAGGUAGGGUGAGAGAUAUGUUUCUGUCUCUGAAUAGUCACUUUGAUAAUACAAAAAUAAAAUGUAAAUUUAGUUUUUGGCAACUUGUCACAUUAAAAAUGUAAAUGGUGCGGAUGGUCUACUAGAUGUCUGACGUUGUGCAAAGUCAUUGUGUGGAUGACGAUGUGACACAUUUUACUGAGAUGGAUAAUUGAAAGAGUCUGAAAUGACAAAACGUUCUGCUGUGUCAGUGUAUUAUGUUGUGACCUUGCUACUGGCUGUGGAAAUAGCUUUAUGGACGCUCUUGAAAAUGGUAGACCCUCUCAAAGGCCACAGACAGUCUUACUGGACCUUAGUGUUUGAUGGGUCUUAUCUUUAAACUGCUUGAGGUGACUCCUGUGCUAAGCCCAUCCAAGCCUGACAGAGGUACGUGUUCAGCUGGGAUUGGAAUGCAUGGUAUCUUUCCUUCUGCAGUCUUGUUAGAAUUGUUUUGUAUCCAUUCCUGUAAGAAAUAGUGUGUAUGUGUGUGUGUGAAAUAGAGAGUUUUGUACAUAUAUGUGUUCGUGUGCAGGUGUUUCUGAAAUGAUGGUUAGUAGAAGUUGCUAUUCUUUAUUUGUUUCUCCCCACUCUUUAUUUUAAGCAGUGGCACAGGAGUGUCAACACAAAUCUUGCCACUAAACCUUUGUAGUACACAUGACUGAUUUGAUCCUGUCGCAAUAACGCUUUGUAUCCUGCAAUACAAAAUCAGCUGGAAAUGUGGCUGGCAUGUGCCACAUUAAAUUACUAUUUAAUAGCUGGAUUGCAAGAACUUUUAAUAUUUUCUAUAUUUUGUAGGGUGCCAUAGAAUACAAGCCAUGUACUGUUGACUAGAUUCUUUUGGUGUUUUCCUUUGUAGGAAUCCUUGGUAUAAGCUUUAUCUUGGUGGCUGGUUCAAAGGAAAGGGAUGCCAUUAGAAGGAAUUGAUUUGAUCACUGAGGUUGUCUGUUGGUGAUGCUCACCUCUUGAAGAGUUGAAUAUAGUGCAUUCUCAUAACUUCGGAACUUACCUCAUCACUUCUUGGUUAUAAAAUGUUAGUUCAUUUUUUAAAGAUAUUUCCAUACUAGCUUUCUGUAGAUGUCACCUUAGUUACCACUUAAAAGAAGAAAGGCAACAUUUGUGUUAGCCUGUGCAUUUGAUUUUGGAACCAAGAUAUUGGCCUGAGCUUCAGCUAGUCCUGUGAGACUUCCUGUCCAUGUUUGCAGUUCACUGUUCACAUUGAAGCCUAUGGUGUUUAAAAGCUAUCACUGCUGAAAUUAUUUUUUCAUGUGCCAUUUUUGUUGUUAUUUAUCCUGUAGUUUUUGUUGAAAACAGUUGUAAGCAGAAUGUGAUAAUUUGCUUCUCUUGUUGCUGGGGAAAAAUUUAUUGAAGGGUAUAAUGUAGCCAGAUCACAUUUUGUUUUGAAAGUUCAUGUACAGAUACAAGGUGUGUGGUAAAUGCUUCUAUCCCGUUCUACAGAACUAUAAUAAUAAGGCCUUAUCUUUCAAGUGUUAACAUUCUUCUUGGAAAUUAGAAGUUUAAAAGUAUUUCAUCGAACUUUGUCAUGAGGAGUGAAUUUAGUCAAAUGCCGUGAGUGUGUGUACAUGUGUGUUUCUGUUCAUAAUUUGUGAGUGAAUUUGGAACUUACUUUUGUGAAGAGUUCAACAGCGUGUUCAAUUUUUGUACGAGUACUUUUUGAUGAAAUGCAAUAUUACUGUCUUUAAUUGCCACAGAUCAGGUGGGCUGAGGGAAUUAAUAAAACAAUUGUGUACAAGAAAGGUAAAGAAUUGUGAUCUUUUUAUACCCAGAAAGUUAGCAUGAUCACUAUAAGAUUGCCAAAUGAACAUUCAAAAAAAGACACAGCAACAAAGAAAAGGCUGCAUAUGAAUUAUUCUUUUGUGAAGCACUUAGCAAUGCAGAACCCAGCGCCAGAAUGCUGUACUUGAUAAGUGUUUUGUCAUGAAGUAAGAGCUGGUAACAGUAACAGUUUCUUAGAAUAGUUUGCACAAAUCAUGAGAAGAGCGAGGAUCAGUCAUGGUCAUGAUCUGUUGUGAAUCAAAUAUGAAAUACACAAAAUCUGUUAAA
RNAcentral lists this unclassified non-coding RNA (10846 nucleotides) under Pomacea canaliculata. RNAcentral describes it as "ectopic P granules protein 5 homolog, transcript variant X1". The record is from RNAcentral. Lineage: Eukaryota; Metazoa; Mollusca; Gastropoda; Architaenioglossa; Ampullariidae.